RNAcentral lists this ribosomal RNA (450 nucleotides) under uncultured bacterium. RNAcentral describes it as "bacterial SSU rRNA". It matches the Rfam family "Bacterial small subunit ribosomal RNA", at positions 355 to 796 of the family's 1533-position model. The record is from RNAcentral.
UGGGGAAUUGUUCGCAAUGGGCGCAAGCCUGACGACGCAACGCCGCGUGGAGGAUGAAGACCUUCGGGUCGUAAACUCCUUUCGAUCGAGACGAACGGCCUCCGGGUGAACAAUCCGGAGGAGUGACGGUACCGAGAGAAGAAGCCCCGGCUAACUCCGUGCCAGCAGCCGCGGUAAUACGGGGGGGGCAAGCGUUGUUCGGAAUUACUGGGCGUAAAGGGCUCGUAGGCGGCCAACUAAGUCGGACGUGAAAUCCCUCGGCUUAACCGGGGAACUGCGUCCGAUACUGGAUGGCUUGAGUUUGGGAGAGGGAUGCGGAAUUCCAGGUGUAGCGGUGAAAUGCGUAGAUAUCUGGAGGAACACCGGUGGCGAAGGCGGCAUCCUGGACCAACACUGACGCUGAGGAGCGAAAGCCAGGGGAGCAAACGGGAUUAGAUACCCCCGUAGUCC